RNAcentral lists this long non-coding RNA (720 nucleotides) under Helianthus annuus (common sunflower). The record is from RNAcentral. Lineage: Eukaryota; Viridiplantae; Streptophyta; Magnoliopsida; Asterales; Asteraceae.
UCGGUCCCAUUUUUCAUUGGUAAAUUCAUAUGUCAAUUGAACGCAAAAAAGCCCGUACCAGAAUACUUCUCAUCAGCUUCGUCUUCGUGUUAAUUAAACAUUGGUCAACUGUAUGCCGACGUUUGGAUUAAGGCGUCUGUAUUGAUAUAAAUUAUACACGUUCCGGUGGCGUUGGGAGCAGCGGGAGUGCCGCCGGUGGUGGCUGAGUAAUACGCGAGUAUAUAUUUUGGGAAAUCAGUUGCACGGAGAGAUUUAUCAGUUAGAAUCAGAUGUUAGGGUUUCCGUUGAGUGCAAAACUGGAAAUAUGGUGAGGGUUUAGCUUGAGAAAAGCCAUUUGAUUAAUCAUACGACUGGAAAAGAGUACGCAUUGAAGCCUAUUGGUGAUGUUGGACCUCUGAUUGAAGCUGGUGGGAUUUCCACUUAAGCUCGAAAAGAUGGGAUAGCUCCCGCUUAGCAACUUAAGUGUGCUCUAUAAGCUACAUAUCCAGGCAUACAUGUACUUACAUGCAUGAAAUACUCGGAUUGUAAUCAAUGGAUAAGCUGAGGCGAGAUUCGGAUAUUAGAAGGUUCAACUUUGCCAAACCAAAACUGUUCUAAGUUUAAACUUCAAAGGUUAACUCUGUCAUCUUAUUCGCCAUGUGCGUCCAAGGGUAACUAACUAGCUCAUUUAUGCUCGCAAGCUGGCUGAUGGUGAAUGAACCUGUUUUGAGGACACACAAG